Molecule: long non-coding RNA, 283 nt
Filed under: Musa acuminata (dwarf banana)
Lineage: Eukaryota; Viridiplantae; Streptophyta; Magnoliopsida; Zingiberales; Musaceae
Description: long non-coding RNA (MACU_LNC007876)
Source: RNAcentral
UGACAAAGCAUAUUCAGAACAAAAAGAACGAUUUCAAACAAGUAGGGUAUCAUAAUGCAAGACAGAAUACAAGAAUUCUCAAGAUACCAUAUCAUUAGAUACAAAAUCAUAAGUGUCAUGUCAUUCAAAACAUAUUUGGUUCAUAACAGAUGGAGCAUAUCAAUAGCGUACAAGAUGUUCCGGAACAUCUCAAUGGCAAAUAGGACAUUUCAGAACAUAUCAGUUCAUAGCAAAUGGAGCACAGAGUAAUUGGAGCAUAUCAAUAACGUACGAGAUGUUCCGG